Molecule: non-coding RNA, 995 nt
Organism: Python bivittatus (Burmese python)
Lineage: Eukaryota; Metazoa; Chordata; Lepidosauria; Squamata; Pythonidae
Source: RefSeq, a predicted model, not a curated record
CUUUUAAAAGAGCACCAAAACAUGGCUCUUUCCCCAGGCCUUGGGGCCUUCGUUUUUAUCUCUCUGGCUGGGGGGAAAGUUUGCUGUGGCUCCCUCUGAAUGAUGCUGUCUUACUGAUACUGUCAAUUUUUUGUUUUUAAUACGUUAAGCCACCAAGACUUGCUGGAGCUGGGUGGCCUAGAAAUUUGAAAAACAAACCAGUAAAGUGAAGUAGCAACUGAAUUUAUCUUCCUAGACCCCGGCACUCACAGGGACAAUGUCUGCAUCCCUGAGUCAUGGUCAUGGUCUUGCGCUUGCUAGUGGGAAAGGGCCGUGACACAAAUAGGCAGAAUGUUAAAGUGCAGAGACAUCGCACAGACAACUGGAGCCCAUAUUGCCAAGGCCAUGGCUUCGUAUGGUAACACGGCUGUAAAAGUUGGACCAGCUUGAUGAAUUCCGUGAAUUCUGACAGUGCUGAGAAGGCCUUUGGAGGCAAAACAAAAAAAUAAUGCCAUCCUAAGUGAAGGAGGAACAGACUUCUCUCUGGAAGCAUUAAGAAUGAAGCAAAAAAAUUAGAGUCCAUAAUGGACUUUUAAUACGAAGGCAAGAGCCCCAGAAGAUAUUCUGGUGCUUAGAAAAAUUAAGGGCAAUCAAAAAAGAGGUGGUUGAAAGACAAGAUGAUGAGAUCCUCUCACUGGCAACACAGGUGCUUUUAAGAACUGAAAGAGAGUGACCGUGCUGGUGAGAUAAUGUCCUUUGGGUCAUGGAGAAUCAAGCAGCUGCAUGACUAACAGCAAACACAUGGGAGGGACCACUUUCUACAUCCUGUCACAUAUCCUGUCUCCUGUAGAACAUCAAGGGGAAUCUCUUGCCCCAGAAAGAGGGGAAGGUUCUCUUCUCAGAUGUGGAUUACGUGAACACUUGGAAGGGUGGCUGAUCACCACUGAUCUCUUUCGGCAGAGAUCGGUGACUGCAAGUGAUUGUGCUUCUCCCUCCCAAUUGUGAAGCCAUGAAAA